UCCCCUUAGCAUCUACCGGACAAAUCACGUCAAGAGUUGCUCAUCAGGGUGUUGCACCAAAACCUUAAACUAAUUACACUUCAUUGGGAACAAAUCAAUCAAGAAAACAAGGACAACAAACCACACAGACACAAACCAGAAUCGCCAGUGAACUACCAUCAAUCAUGUGAUGUACUUUAAAACAGGCAAGAAAACAAGAGAAGGGGACCAUUCGCCCCAACACAAUAAAGCCCAAGAACACAACAAGAAGACAGCCACAGGAUUUACAACUACCAACAAACACCCCCCCCCCCCACACUUAAAAUCUGGCACUGUCCUCAGUGCAAACAAAAAGAGGGGUGAAAGAGGAAAUUUCCCUAAAUACCGAUCCAGUGGUGAGUCUGUAGUAUCCCACGAUGUCUGCCCAACUCGCAUCCCUAGAACAGGCAGUCUCCAACGCAACAACCUGCACCAAACAACAGAAACAAAAGAACUGAAACACAAGCAAAAACGAAAGAUAAACAAAAACAAGAAAAAGUAAGAAACAUGGGUUGCCUCCCAUGCAGCGCUAGUUUUAAAGUCGCCAGCCCGACUAGGAGAACCGCUUAACCAAAAUCCGAUUGAAGCUCUAGCUGCCUUAGCGCCCUUGUAAACAUAAGUUCUUGAAUUGCAGCUGCGGGUCCUCCAAAUGAGCGUUCCAUGCUCAUAUCAUGAGAUGGUCCUCUAUCCACCCAUCCCAGGAGAUCGAGUGACACAACCUCAUCAAGCUUCUCUUCCAGUAGCAAGGCAGACAUGAAGCCUUGCUCUAUGUCAUCUUCCUCGUGCAGCUUAUCCAGAGAUUCCUGCUCAAUGUCAGCCUCAUCCUGCAAGUUGGCAAGGAAUACCUCCUCAAUCUCGUCCUCCUCCUGUAACUUAUUAAGGAAUUCCUGCACAAUACAAUCCUCAUCCAAAGCAUCAAAUGUUUCAACAUAAGAGCAGAUUUGAAUUAAGGAAGUGGGGGUAGUAGGUUUUUUUAUCAAAAACAGAGAAUGUUACCGCUCUACCCGCCCCUACCAUACUUACAGUUCCCGUACCCACAUCGAUGCGAGUACGGGUGGUAGCCAUAAAGGGUCGGCCAAGUAGCACGAGAUGCCCAUUCUCGCCUCUAAUCCCUUUUCCCACAUCCAGGACAACAAAAUCAGCCAAGACUCUAAUCCCCCUCA
Molecule: long non-coding RNA, 1181 nt
Filed under: Salvia miltiorrhiza (redroot sage)
Lineage: Eukaryota; Viridiplantae; Streptophyta; Magnoliopsida; Lamiales; Lamiaceae
Description: long non-coding RNA (SMIL_LNC013690)
Source: RNAcentral